This 481-nucleotide ribosomal RNA is filed under the name uncultured soil bacterium. RNAcentral's name for it is "bacterial SSU rRNA". It matches the Rfam family "Bacterial small subunit ribosomal RNA", at positions 26 to 501 of the family's 1533-position model. The record is from RNAcentral.
AGAUUGAACGCUGGCGGCAGGCCUAACACAUGCAAGUCGAGCGGUAGAGAGGUGCUUGCACCUCUUGAGAGCGGCGGACGGGUGAGUAAUGCCUAGGAAUCUGCCUAGUGGUGGGGGAUAACGUUCGGAAACGGACGCUAAUACCGCAUACGUCCUACGGGAGAAAGCGGGGGACCUUCGGGCCUCGCACCAUUAGAUGAGCCUAGGUCGGAUUAGCUAGUUGGUGAGGUAAUGGCUCACCAAGGCGACGAUCCGUAACUGGUCUGAGAGGAUGAUCAGUCACACUGGAACUGAGACACGGUCCAGACUCCUACGGGAGGCAGCAGUGGGGAAUAUUGGACAAUGGGACGAAAGCCUGAUCCAGCCAAUGCCGCGUGUGUGAAGAAGGUCUUCGGAUUGUAAAGCUACUUUAAGUGGAGGAAGGUUAGUAACUUAAUACGUUGCAACUUUGACCGUUACGACAGAAUAAGCACCGGCUAAC